This 141-nucleotide ribosomal RNA is filed under the name uncultured bacterium. RNAcentral's name for it is "partial 16S rRNA". It matches the Rfam family "Bacterial small subunit ribosomal RNA", at positions 355 to 511 of the family's 1533-position model. The record is from RNAcentral.
UGGGGAAUUUUCCGCAAUGGGCGAAAGCCUGACGGAGCAAUGCCGCGUGGAGGUGGAAGGCCUACGGGUCGUCAACUUCUUUUCUCGGAGAAGAAACAAUGACGGUAUCUGAGGAGUAAGCAUCGGCUAACUCUGUGCCAA